Molecule: ribosomal RNA, 249 nt
Filed under: uncultured bacterium
Lineage: Bacteria
Description: partial 16S ribosomal RNA
Rfam family: Bacterial small subunit ribosomal RNA
Source: RNAcentral
CGAGGUGCAAGCGUUAAUCGGAUUACUGGCGUAAGCGCGCGUAGGUGGCUUGAUAAGUUGGAUGUGAAUCCCGGGCGUCAACCUGGGAACUGCAUCCAAACUGUCUGGCUAGAGUGCGGUAGAGGGUAGUGGAAUUUCCAGUGUAGCGGUGAAAUCGCGUAGAUAUUGGAAGGAACACCAGUGGCGAAGGCGACUACCUGGACUUGACACUGACACUGAGGUGCGAAAGCCGUGGGAGCAAACAGGAUU